CGUGCAAAGGUAGCAUAAGCAUUUGUUCCCUAAAUAGGGACUUGUAUGAACGGCCACACGAGGGCUUUACUGUCUCUUACUUCCAAUCCGUGAAAUUGACCUUCCCGUGAAGAGGCGGGAAUAUAAUAAUAAGACGAGAAGACCCUAUGGAGCUUUAAUUAACCGACCCAAAGAGACCAUAUGAACCAACCGACAGGAACAACAAACCUCUAUAUGGGCCGGCAAUUUAGGUUGGGGUGACCUCGGAGAAUAAAACAACCUCCGAGUGAUUUAAAUCUAGACUAACCAGUCGAAAGUACUACAUCACUUAUUGAUCCAAAAACCUUGAUCAACGGAACAAGUUACCCUAGGGAUAACAGCGCAAUCCUAUUUCAGAGUCCAUAUCGACAAUAGGGUUUACGACCUCGAUGUUGGAUCAGGACAUCCCGAUGGUGCAGCAGCUAUCAAAGGUUCGUUUGUUCAACGAUUAAAGUCCUACGUGAUCUGAGUUCAGACCGGAGUAAUCCAGGUCGGUUUCUAUCUAUUUAAUAACUUCUCCCAGUACGAAAGGACAAGAGAAGUGAGGCCCACUUCACCAAAGCGCCUUUAACCAAAUAGAUGAUAUAAUCUUAA
RNAcentral lists this ribosomal RNA (612 nucleotides) under Felis catus (domestic cat). Its description in RNAcentral is "16S rRNA". It matches the Rfam family "Bacterial large subunit ribosomal RNA", at positions 1947 to 2790 of the family's 2925-position model. Lineage: Eukaryota; Metazoa; Chordata; Mammalia; Carnivora; Felidae. The record is from RNAcentral.